GUUGUUCUCUGUUGUAGUCAUGUGUACGCACACUAGUAAGUUUUAAAAUUUAUUUUUGUGUAUGUACAUGGGUUAUAUGCACAUGAGUGCAGGUGCCUGCAGUGGCCAGAAGAGGGUGCUGGAUCUUCUGGAGUUACUGGUGGUUGUCAACCACCUUAUGUGGGUGCUGGGAAUCAAACUCUGGUCUUGUGGAAGAGCAGCAAGGGCUUCUAACUGAUGAGCCCCAAAUAAAUAAUAUUAUACAUGUUAACUGUGGGAAAUACUAGUACGCUAGUAGUAGCAAACCUGGUUUUUAUUUCUUUAAUUAUGCUUAUAUUUUUUAUUCUCUGUGUGUGUGCUCAUAGGCAUGCAUUCAUGUCUCACAGCACCUGUACAGAGGUCAAAGGACAACUGAUGGGAGCCAAUUCUCUUCCACCACGUGGGCCCCAGGAUGGAAUCGGGUCAUCAGAAAAAUAAGUGGUCAACACAAUACACAGAGGAACAAGGUGAAG
This 491-nucleotide long non-coding RNA is filed under the name Cricetulus griseus (Chinese hamster). Its description in RNAcentral is "lncRNA (ENSCGRG00015042219.1)". The record is from RNAcentral. Lineage: Eukaryota; Metazoa; Chordata; Mammalia; Rodentia; Cricetidae.